GAUGAACGCUGGCGGCGUGCCUUAUACAUGCAGGUCGAGCGAACAGAUAAGGAGCUUGCUCCUUUGACGUUAGCGGCGGACGGGUGAGUAACACGUGGGUAACCUACCUAUAAGACUGGAAUAACUCCGGGAAACCGGGGCUAAUGCCGGAUAACAUUUAGAACCGCAUGGUUCUAAAGUGAAAGAUGGUUUUGCUAUCACUUAUGGAUGGACCCGCGCCGUAUUAGCUAGUUGGUAAGGUAACGGCUUACCAAGGCAACGAUACGUAGCCGACCUGAGAGGGUGAACGGCCACACUGGAACUGAGACACGGCCCAGACUCCUACGGGAGGCAGCAGCUGGGAAUAUUCCGCAAUGGGCGAAAGCCUGACGGAGCAACGCCGCGUGGGUGAUGAAGGUUGUAGGAUCGUAAAACCCUGUUAUUAGGGAAGAACAAAUGUGUAAGUAAAUGUGCACGUGUUGACGGUACCUAAUCAGAAAGCCACGGCUAACUACGUG
This 497-nucleotide ribosomal RNA is filed under the name uncultured bacterium. RNAcentral describes it as "partial 16S ribosomal RNA". It matches the Rfam family "Bacterial small subunit ribosomal RNA", at positions 28 to 507 of the family's 1533-position model. The record is from RNAcentral.